CGCUCAAGCUGGGGGGCGGAGUCUUGGGCCCUCUGGCGUCAAAAGGUCGCGGAGCGGACACUCGCGCAGGCCCAGUUGGAGGGUGGUGGUCCUAACCAGUCUUAACCCGCUCAGCUCAAAUAGGACUCCGAUGACGCCAAGUUCCUGGGCAACACCUCCAGCAAACAAACAUCUUUUUGUUUAGGCAGUGUGCCAGGCCGCUUGGAGGACCUGUGAGCCUUUAAACGACCUUGACGAGCUAAGGCAGGUGGAAUGGAUAUGAGCAAUCAUUACCUGGUUUCACCUGCUCCUCUUUGAUCACCAGAGAUUAUGGGUAAAACAUUGCAGAAAGACGUACCCUUCUUCCGAAGAGGAUUCCCCCAUUUCUCUUGGAGGCUGCAAGAGGAAGCUGCUGAGACGACCACAGGGAGUUGUCUGGACUUUGCAGUGUGGCUCCCUGUCCUGGGAACUCUAGGCCUUGCAGUGGAAAGAAAACUCUAGGCCUUGCAGUGGAAAGAAAAUGAAUAGAUAUUGACUUGACUGCCCUUGGUACCUCGUAUCAGUGGAAUCCUACAGCGUUUGUCCUCUUGUGACAGGCUGAUGUCUUCGAGGUUCAUCCGUGCUGUAGGGCACUCAGGAUGUCCUCCCUCCUUGGGCCGAGUCCGGCUCCACUGUGGGCCUGGGCCGUGCUCAGUCAGCCCCUCAGCUGCGCGUGAGCAGGUGAGCCCCUCCUGCGUUCUUCUUCCGUGAGACUGCCGUGCACGAUGCUGCUGGAAUGUGGAUGUGCAACGAUCAUUUCAAGACCCUGCUUUCAGUCAUUUGGGGCACAUACUCAAAAGCAGAACUGUCACAUCACAGGGCGGUUUUGUUUUGAAGUUUCGGAGGAAUAGCCGUACUGUCCUCUGUAGCAGCAACACCGUUGCGGCAGCAGGUUCACUGGACCUUUGCGCCUGCACGGCCUCUGGGGCAGCGUUACAGGGAGGGGGACGCAAGGGCUGGGUGUGCAGGGGGUGCUGGCGUAGGGGGGGUGCUCUGGACUCUGGAGGCUCUGGUCCCGGGGACUUGAGGGUGGAUGAGGCAGGAGAAGCUGGGGCCACAGCCGUUCCAUGGUUUACCCUGGAGACUCCAGUGAACAGAGUGGGAGUGAUUUAUUUUCCACAAAGAGAGAUGACUUUGUCUUAAUUUGUGGGAGAAUGGAGGGCCAGGGGGUUCCUGAUGACAAGGUACUAUUCAGAGACCUAACUCUGUUCAGCGUUAUCUCCUCCAGAUUUUAUGGGACUUUAGGUAAAGGUGUUGGUGAGGAAGAGGGAGGGACAUGGCAGCAAUGGCACCAGUCUCUCUAUCCAGUAGAGACGGGCAGGCAGGGGUGCUACCUGAAAAAAAAGCUGGUCCUUGGAGAGUUCCUGUUGUGGCUCAGUGGUAAGGAACCCAGCUACUAUCUAUGAGGCU
Molecule: long non-coding RNA, 1428 nt
Organism: Sus scrofa (pig)
Lineage: Eukaryota; Metazoa; Chordata; Mammalia; Artiodactyla; Suidae
Source: RefSeq, a predicted model, not a curated record